This 253-nucleotide ribosomal RNA is filed under the name uncultured bacterium. Its description in RNAcentral is "partial 16S ribosomal RNA". It matches the Rfam family "Bacterial small subunit ribosomal RNA", at positions 524 to 776 of the family's 1533-position model. The record is from RNAcentral.
UACGUGGGGGGCAAGCGUUGUUCGGAAUUACUGGGCGUAAAGGGCUCGUAGGCGGCCAACUAAGUCGGACGUGAAAUCCCCAGGCUCAACCUGGGAACUGCGUCUGAUACUGGAUGGCUUGAAUCCGGGAGAGGGAUGCAGAAUUCCAGGUGUAGCGGUGAAAUGCGUAGAUAUCUGGAGGAAUACCGGUGGCGAAGGCGGCAUCCUGGACCGGCAUUGACGCUGAGGAGCGAAAGCCAGGGGAGCAAACGGG